UUUCACUUCCUGUCGGCCAAAAAAUACGACGUCCAGAUAAAUACAAAUAAAUCGAAUAAAAAAGAAAUAUGAAAACCCCGAUUCCUUUUAUGUUUCUAAUUAAUAAUUUGGCUAGAUACAUAUAUAUUAUUUUGUUUCCUUUAGUGUUUUGAAAGCGAAUUUGUCAGACAACGGAACUGAAAGUAGGAGGAGCUGUGUGCGACGUCAAACACAGCAGCCAUAACGCACAUGAGCUGCUGUAGUGUUAACAUAAUGUCUUUCCCAUUGUUGGCUGCUAGUGAUUUAAGUAAUCCAUGCAAUGUACUUUUACACAGUUUUUUAGGCUGGCACGUGGGCUGUAAAUUAUGAGUGAUUAUAAUAAAAACGACAUCACCACAGCACAGCGUGGCUACAAACGCUACCUGGCUGACCAAAUGGCUGUUCCAGGAAGAACACUUAGACGAUGGAAAAGGAUAAGGCAAGUAGCUUCACUAGUGUUUAAUUUAUUAAAGCUGUUCAGUCAUAAUACGAUAGUAUAUAUUCUAAACCUUUAUUUUUAUUUUAUAGGAACAAGGAACAAUCAAGUCAAGCAGAAACAACGGUUCUUUAACACAUGACGAGAUUCGUACUGUAAGCAACACUGAAGAUGAUGACAGUCUAGAAACUGAUGAAGACGUUGAUGUACCAGAAUCCAGUAAUCGAACGGGAACGGGAACCUGAAAUAACCCCAAGUGAACAGGAGAAUGCAGAUCUUGAGUCAAUUACAUGGAACAGGACAUUGAGAAUCCUGGCAGUGAACCUUUUCAUUCUCUUGAUGAAUCUACACAAGAAAAGUACCUGCAAGAGGAUGACAAAGUGUAUUCGUCUCAACAACAGAAUGGCCUGCUGCUCAUGGCUUUGAAAAUGAAGCACAAGCUUACCAAGGAAGCAGUCUCUGACAUGCUGGACAUUAUUAAUCUAUUGGCUGGUAAAGACACUGUACCACAAUCUUGGUACCACUUAGAAAAACCAUUUGAAGGUUUAAAAUAUUUUGUAGAAAUACAUCAUGUUUGCAAUUUCUGUGAAUCUUACUUAGGUAAAGAAACGCACUUACUGUGAGAAAGAAUGGAUAGAGCAAAGGAGUCUGAAAGAAGGAAACUUUUUCUUUCAUUUGCCUUUACAUGCACAGAUCAAAGCAUUUUUAGAGGACCCUGAAUUGUCACAAAAGGUAGUAAGAAAUAGACAUGGCUUCCAGUCACAGACAUUCUGUGACAUAACAUUGUUUAUGCCAGCUGGUACACAGAUAGUGACCAGGCAUCCUGCAUUCCUUUUGCUAUGAAAAUGUUCUUUCAGAUCUUACACUGUAUAGAUAGGAACUCCCGUUCUCUCACCACGGCUAACUUGGUUCGAGGAACUACCGUUCCUUUCGAUUUAUGAAAAACGCCACAGGUACAAUUGUAAUAAUGUUGUAUAUAAAAGGCAGUUGUUAAAAUUCUUGUUAAAUUUUAGCCUCUGCUUAUACAUGUUUCAAACUACCAUGUGUUUUUUCUGUGCAAUGUAUUUGACCUACAAAUGUACAAUAAACAGUAAGAAAGUCAAA
Long non-coding RNA from Acipenser ruthenus (sterlet), 1558 nucleotides. RefSeq lists it as uncharacterized. The record is from RefSeq and is a predicted model, not a curated record. The transcript is spliced from 4 exons. Lineage: Eukaryota; Metazoa; Chordata; Actinopteri; Acipenseriformes; Acipenseridae.